RNAcentral lists this ribozyme (116 nucleotides) under Aedes aegypti (yellow fever mosquito). RNAcentral describes it as "drz-agam-1 ribozyme". It matches the Rfam family "drz-agam-1 ribozyme". The record is from Rfam by way of RNAcentral. Lineage: Eukaryota; Metazoa; Arthropoda; Insecta; Diptera; Culicidae.
UGCCCAGUAACUCCUAUCCCUACCUCCUCGUGGUACUGGCCGGGGUACGAGCAACCUUAGGGAAGAUCGGGUAACCAACCCCGGUGGGAGCUUUGGUCGUAUGCUGACAGGGAAGG